UACAGGGGGGGCAAGCGUUGUUCGGAAUUACUGGGCGUAAAGGGUUUGUAGGUGGCUUGUUAAGUCAGACGUGAAAUCCCCAGGCUCAACCUGGGAACUGCGUCUGAUACUGGAUGGCUUGAAUCCGGGAGAGGGAUGCAGAAUUCCAGGUGUAGCGGUGAAAUGCGUAGAUAUCUGGAGGAAUACCGGUGGCGAAGGCGGCAUCCUGGACCGGCAUUGACGCUGAGGAGCGAAAGCCAGGGGAGCAAACGGG
RNAcentral lists this ribosomal RNA (253 nucleotides) under uncultured bacterium. Its description in RNAcentral is "partial 16S ribosomal RNA". It matches the Rfam family "Bacterial small subunit ribosomal RNA", at positions 524 to 776 of the family's 1533-position model. The record is from RNAcentral.